UCCAGAAAAGAUCCAUACCCCCCCACGGAGGAAAUUUUUGCUGUCCGAAGGGGGAGGGAGGAAAAAUGUCUUAGGAUGUCCGAAGGGGGGAGAGGGAUGUGGAUAUGUUUGUCUGAAGGUUUGAGACUGUGAUAAAGCUAUGUGAUCGGCGAUUAUAAUGAGCACGCAAUUUUUUAUCGGCUAUAUGUAGCUCUUGAACACCGGAACGUUUAUGUAACAGCAAUAAUUAUACGUCCACGUAACUCGUAAGCAAAAUAAGCGGCCCACUUUUGCAUGCAUGGCCACCAAAAACUAACUCGCUGUAACAGCGUAUCCUGCAUGUUGAGAAUGAGUCGAAAAUUGACACGCUUUAUUUAUAUAGUUUGCAGUUUUCGUUCGUAUAUAUAAGUUUGAAUUAUUUAAGUGUUAAAAAUAAUAGUUAUUAAACUGUUGCUCGAAUUAAGAGACUGCUAUGUGAACUGAACUCAAAACAAUUUGUUUUAGUAUAUAGUCAAUAAAGCUUCCUUGCGAGGUGCGUGUCUAGAAAAUAGAAAUGGCUUUCAUAUUAAGGGCGAGGUUAAGGAAUGCAGUAAUACUAAAAAAUGCAUUAACAUGUAAGUAAACACAGCAACGCUUGUCAAUCAGUCGCAAGUUACAUCGAAUUUCAGUCCGAAUUUUACUUGAACAAAUUUCGAAGUGAAUUUCUGCAAAUUAUCCGACAAAACCUGCCACGUGUUUGUGUUCGCAAGUCACAAGAAGCCGCCAAGUGUUCCACCACGCCGNNNNNNNNNNNNNNNNNNNNCCCACGGAGGAAAUUUUUGCUGUCCGAAGGGGGAGGGAGGAAAAAUGUCUUAGGAUGUCCGAAGGGGGGAAGAGGAAAAAUGUCUUAGGAUGUCCGAAGGGGGGGAGAGGGAUGUGGAUAUGUUUGUCUGAAGGUUUGAGACUGUGAUAAAGCUAUGUGAUCGGCGAUUAUAAUGAGCACGCAAUUUUUAUCGGCUAUAUGUAGCUCUUGAACACCGGAACGUUUAUGUAACAGCAAUAAUUAUACGUCCACGUAACUCGUAAGCAAAAUAAGCGGCCCACUUUUGCAUGCAUCACCACCAAAAACUAACUCGCUGUAACAGCGUAUCCUGCAUGUUGAGAAUGAGUCGAAAAUUGACACGCUUUAUUUAUAUAAAAGUAAAGUUUUGCAGUUUUCGUUCGUAUAUAUAAGUUUGAAUUAUUCAAGUGUUAAAAAUAAUAGUUAUUAAACUGUUGCUCGAAUUAAGAGACUGCUAUGUGAACUGAACUGAACUCAAAACAAUUUGUUUUAGUAUAUAGUCAAUAAAGCUUCCUUACGAGGUGCGUGUCUAGAAAAUAGAAAUGGCUUUCAUAUUAAGGGCGAGGUUAAUUAAAGGGUAUUGGCAACAAAAUUUUUUAUUGAUUUUAUUGCUUCAUCUGAAGGAGCAUGAAAAAAUAAGCCGAUUGGCCGUUUACUGCUCUAUUCUAUCUCAUCUGGUUCCGAAGUUAUACGCAAAAAUGUGCAAAAUAUAAAUUGCUGAUUCAGCACAUUCUGUGAUGUCAUAAGC
RNAcentral lists this long non-coding RNA (1547 nucleotides) under Paramuricea clavata. The record is from RNAcentral. Lineage: Eukaryota; Metazoa; Cnidaria; Anthozoa; Malacalcyonacea; Plexauridae.